Molecule: ribosomal RNA, 497 nt
Filed under: uncultured bacterium
Lineage: Bacteria
Description: partial 16S ribosomal RNA
Rfam family: Bacterial small subunit ribosomal RNA
Source: RNAcentral
GAUGAACGCUGGCGGCGUGCCUAAUACAUGCAAGUCGAGCGAACGGACGAGAAGCUUGCUUCUCUGAUGUUAGCGGCGGACGGGUGAGUAACACGUGGAUAACCUACCUAUAAGACUGGGAUAACUUCGGGAAACCGGAGCUAAUACCGGAUAAUAUUUUGACCGCCAGGGUUCAAAAUUGAAAAAGGGUUUUGCGGUCACUUAUAGAUGGAUCCGCGCUGCAUUAGCUAGUUGGUAAGGUAACGGCUUACCAAGGCAACGAUGCAUAGCCGACCUGAGAGGGUGAUCGGCCACACUGGAACUGAGACACGGUCCAGACUCCUACGGGAGGCAGCAGUAGGGAAUCUUCCGCAAUGGGCGAAAGCCUGACGGAGCAACGCCGCGUGAGUGAUGAAGGUCUUCGGAUCGUAAAACUCUGUUAUUAGGGAAGAACAUAUGUGUAAGUAACUGUGCACAUCUUGACGGUACCUAAUCAGAAAGCCACGGCUAACUACGUG